GAAACUACUAUGGGCACCACAUCUCAAACUGCCACUUGGCUCCACCAUUGCAGAAAGUAUUAUCACUGGCACCACUUGUGUGAUAAAAACAACUAUGACAGAUACCAAUUCCUUAGAAUGUACCACCACUUGUACACACAAUACCCUGUAGAAACUACUACCUUGGGAACCACUUCAGUUGAAACACCUACUCUGAGUACCACUUCUACGUAAACUAUUUACUACCCGAUUCCUUAAUGUACUAACACUUGUACACACUAGUAACCUUGCCACCCCUUUGCAGAUAGUCCUAUACUUGUCAUCACUGUAGAAACAUCAGAAUUAAUUCAAAUGUAAUAGUAUUAUAAGCAUCCACACAUGUAACGACAACUUCUGGAAAAAUCUUUGCUACAUCUAUGUCUGGCAUGUUGUCUGCUUUUGAAUCCAUAGUGGCUGAAAAAUAACACUUCUGCAGAAAGUACUACCCUUGGCACACUUUUUGUGGAAAGUACCAUUCUGGCCACCACUUCGGGGGAAAGAACUACCUUUGACUCCACUUCUCUAGAAACUACUACCCUAGGCACCACCUUGACUGAAACACUGUUGUUCUGAAACUCUGCAAAAUUCUGCAAUAAACAAGUUAUGCUCAGAGUCCAGAGCCUUGAUCAAAACAGUAUAACAAUCACCUUCUGAGAAGAGACCUGCACGAUCGCAGGACCCAACGCAACAGAGUGCGGCACGGGACAACACUUGAUGGGCAGGUGAAUAAUCUUCGUUGCGGUUUACUUUGUGGCAACAAUGGAGGUUGCAGAUUCAAAGAUAUAUGGUGUAUGAAUGACCUGUAUGACUAUUUUAGUUGUAUCUGUGGAACAAGCAUACCAUUUAU
Carassius carassius (crucian carp) is the source of this 865-nucleotide long non-coding RNA. RefSeq lists it as uncharacterized. The record is from RefSeq and is a predicted model, not a curated record. The transcript has 4 exons. NCBI's taxonomy places the organism in Eukaryota, Metazoa, Chordata, Actinopteri, Cypriniformes, Cyprinidae.